This 251-nucleotide ribosomal RNA is filed under the name uncultured prokaryote. Its description in RNAcentral is "partial 16S ribosomal RNA". It matches the Rfam family "Bacterial small subunit ribosomal RNA", at positions 525 to 775 of the family's 1533-position model. The record is from RNAcentral.
ACGUCUUUUCCCCGCUUUCUCCUGAAUUACUGGGCGUAAAGCGCACGCAGGCGGCUGAUUAAGUCUGACGUGAAAUCUCCUGGCUUAACUGGGAGGGGUCGUUGGAAACUGGUCGGCUUGAGGCAGUGAGAGGGGUGUGGAAUUCCCGGUGUAGUGGUGGAAUGCGUAGAUAUCGGGAGGAACACCAGUGGCGAAAGCGGCGCCCUGGCACUGGCCUGACGCUCAUGUGCGAAAGCGUGGGGAGCGAACGG